GGUGGAAUGGAAAUCAACUGAGACUCCCCUAGUAGCGGCGAGCGAACGGGGACCAUGCCUAAACCGGUGGGAAGCAAUUCCUACCGGGGUUGUGGGACUCCAACAUGGGAUCUGGAAGGGUAGGAGAACGGUCUGGAAAGGCCGGCCAGAGAGGGUGACAGCCCUGUAUCCGAAACCUCGAAGGACCCUAGGAGAUUCCCGAGUACCACGGGGCACGUGAAACCCUGUGGGAAUCUGGGUGGACCAUCAUCCAAGGCUAAGUACUACCUGGCGACCGAUAGUGAACCAGUACCGUGAGGGAAAGGCGAAAAGAACCCCUGUUAGGGGAGUGAAAUAGAACCUGAAACCGUGUGCGUACAAGCAGUGGGAGCCCGGCCUCGGCUGGGUGACUGCGUACCUUUUGUAUAAUGGGUCAGCGACUUACUUCUCAGUGGCAAGCUUAACCGUUUAGGGUAGGCGUAGCGAAAGCGAGUCUUAAUAGGGCGUCUUAGUCGCUGGGAGUAGACCCGAAACCGGACGAUCUAGCCAUGGCCAGGUUGAAGGUCGGGUAAUACCGACUGGAGGACCGAACCAACUGAUGUUGAAAAAUCAGUGGAUGAGCUGUGGCUAGGAGUGAAAGGCUAAACAAGUCCGGAGAUAGCUGGUUCUCCCCGAAAACUAUUUAGGUAGUGCCUCGUGUCUCACUUCUGGGGGUAGAGCACUGUUAUGGCUAGGGCCACGUCUAGUGGUACCAACCCAUUGCAAACUCCGAAUACCAGAAAGUGCAAUCACGGGAGACAGACGGCGGGAGAUAAGUUUCGUCGUCGAAAGGGAAACAGCCCAGACCGCCAGUUAAGGUCCCCAAAUCACAACUAAGUGGGAAACGAUGUGGGAAGGCCCAGACAGCCAGGAGGUUGGCUUAGAAGCAGCCACCCUUUAAAGAAAGCGUAAUAGCUCACUGGUCGAGUCGGCCUGCGCGGAAGAUGUACCGGGGCUAAGUUGUGUACCGAAACUGCGGAUGCAAGCUUUGCUUGCAUGGUAGGGGAGCGUUCUGUAGGCCUGCGAAGGUGUGCCGUGAGGCAUGCUGGAGGUAUCAGAAGUGCGAAUGCUGACAUGAGUAACGAUAAAGGGGGUGAAAGACCCCCUCGCCGGAAGUCCAAGGUUUCCUGCACAAUGUUAAUCAGUGCAGGGUUAGUCGGGUCCUAAGAUGAGGCCGAAAGGCGUAAUCGAUGGUUAACAGGUUAAUAUUCCUGUACCGCGUCUAACUGCGAUGGGGUGACGGAGAAGGCUAGGCCAGCCGGGUGUUGGAUAUCCCGGUUUAAGCGAGUAGGGAGUACCCUUAGGUAAAUCCGGGGGUGCAAUUCCGAGACGUGAUGACGAGGUUUCUUUUGAAACCGAAGUGGUUGAUGCCAUGCUUCCAGGAAAAACCUCUAAGCUUCAGGUUAGAUGUGUCCGUACCCUAAACCGACACAGGUGGACAGGGCGAGAAGCCCAAGGCGCUUGAGACAACUCGGGUGAAGGAACUCGGCAAAAUGACACCGUAACUUCGGGAGAAGGUGUGCCCCUGGUAGGUGAAGGUCUUCGCGACCGGAGCCCAAGGGGGUUGCAAUAAAGAGGUGGCUGCGACUGUUUAUUAAAAACAUAGCACUCUGCAAACUCGUAAGAGGACGUAUAGGGUGUGACGCCUGCCCGGUGCCGGAAGGUUAAUUGAUGGGGUUAGUCCUCGGACGAAGCUCUUGAUCGAAGCCCCGGUGAACGGCGGCCGUAACUAUAACGGUCCUAAGGUAGCGAAAUUCCUUGUCGGGUAAGUUCCGACCUGCACGAAUGGCGUAACGAUGGCCACACUGUCUCCACCCGGGACU
This 1841-nucleotide ribosomal RNA is filed under the name marine metagenome. RNAcentral's name for it is "bacterial LSU rRNA". It matches the Rfam family "Bacterial large subunit ribosomal RNA", at positions 212 to 2033 of the family's 2925-position model. The record is from RNAcentral.